GAAGACUCACUCUGCGGCCUGCUGCAACACCAAGCACAGGGAUUUUUCCCAUCUGCCACAGAAAUGUGCCAGGGACUGGCACUACUUUGACCUAUCAAAGUGGCAGAGUUGCUUGGGGAAAAAAGC
Small nucleolar RNA from Sorex fumeus (smoky shrew), 126 nucleotides. RefSeq annotates it as small nucleolar RNA SNORA77. The transcript has a single exon. The record is from RefSeq and is a predicted model, not a curated record. NCBI's taxonomy places the organism in Eukaryota, Metazoa, Chordata, Mammalia, Eulipotyphla, Soricidae.